AGUCGAGGGGUAUAGUAGCAAUACUAGAGACCGGCGCACGGGUGCGUAACGCGUAUGCAAUCUACCUUUUGCAGAGGGAUAGCCCAGAGAAAUUUGGAUUAAUACCUCAUAGUAUAGCAACUUCGCAUGAAGUCACUAUUAAAGUCACAACGGCAAAAGAUGAGCAUGCGUCCCAUUAGCUAGUUGGUAAGGUAACGGCUUACCAAGGCGACGAUGGGUAGGGGUCCUGAGAGGGAGAUCCCCCACACUGGUACUGAGACACGGACCAGACUCCUACGGGAGGCAGCAGUGAGGAAUAUUGGUCAAUGGGCGCAAGCCUGAACCAGCCAUGCCGCGUGCAGGAUGACGGUCCUAUGGAUUGUAAACUGCUUUUGUACGGGAAGAAACCCUCCAACGUGUUGGAGCUUGACGGUACCGUAAGAAUAAGGAUCGGCUAACUCCGUGCCAGCAGCCGCGGUAAUACGGAGGAUCCAAGCGUUAUCCGGAAUCAUUGGGUUUAAAGGGUCCGUAGGCGGUUUGGUAAGUCAGUGGUGAAAGCCCAUCGCUCAACGGUGGAACGGCCAUUGAUACUGCUAGACUUGAAUUAUUAGGAAGUAACUAGAAUAUGUAGUGUAGCGGUGAAAUGCUU
Molecule: ribosomal RNA, 628 nt
Filed under: uncultured Bacteroidota bacterium
Lineage: Bacteria; Pseudomonadati; Bacteroidota
Description: bacterial SSU rRNA
Rfam family: Bacterial small subunit ribosomal RNA
Source: RNAcentral